CCCUUAGAUGUUCUGGGCCGCACGCGCGCUACAAUGAUGAAUUCAACGAGUUUAUAACCUUGGUUGAAAAGCCUGGGUAAUCUUUUGAACUUUCGUCGUGAUGGGGCUAGACCCUUGCAAUUAUUGGUCUCCAACGAGGAAUUCCUAGUAAACGCAAGUCAUCAGCUUGCAUUGAUUACGUCCCUGCCCUUUGUACACACCGCCCGCCGCACCUACCGAUUGAAUGGUCCGGUGAAAUCUUCGGAUUGAGACUUUGAUUUGUUUACUCAAAACGCUGUUUCAAGAAGUUGAUUAAACCUUACCAUUUAGAGGAAGGUGAAGUCGUAACA
Molecule: ribosomal RNA, 329 nt
Filed under: uncultured eukaryote
Lineage: Eukaryota
Description: partial 18S ribosomal RNA
Rfam family: Eukaryotic small subunit ribosomal RNA
Source: RNAcentral